AGCAGUGGACGAGUUCCGAAUAGGACGAAACGUGCGUCCUGGAU
This 44-nucleotide non-coding RNA is filed under the name Schistosoma mansoni. The record is from RNAcentral. Lineage: Eukaryota; Metazoa; Platyhelminthes; Trematoda; Strigeidida; Schistosomatidae.